UAGAGACAGGUUUUGGGGACAAGGAAAGUCGAGAGAGCCUAGCAUUCAAUGUCAAUCAUGGGCUCCCUGAGAUCCUCCAGCCCCCAGCUAAUCUGGGAUCCCCAUGGAGGAGGGACAUUUGACAUCAUCCUGGAGCCCAUUGGAGACUGGAGGAAAGCCUGCCAAGGUGUAAUGCCAAGCACUCCAUCAACGUGCAGGAGCCCCGGCUGAUCCAAAAUCGUGUCUCUACUGCCUGAGAUCAACGUGACUGGGUCCUCCAACUCUCCGUAUCCAUGACAACGACUAGAAUCUAUCAUGCAUCAAGAAUCUUGAGGGCUGGGGUUGUGGCUCAGUGGUAGAGCACUUGCCUAGCAUGUGUGAGGCCCUGGGUCAAUUCUCAGCGCCACAUAAAAAUAAAUAAAAUAAAGAUCCAUUGACAACU
RNAcentral lists this long non-coding RNA (421 nucleotides) under Ictidomys tridecemlineatus (thirteen-lined ground squirrel). RNAcentral describes it as "lncRNA (ENSSTOG00000033744.1)". The record is from RNAcentral. Lineage: Eukaryota; Metazoa; Chordata; Mammalia; Rodentia; Sciuridae.